GUGGGGAAUCUUGCGCAAUGGGCGAAAGCCUGACGCAGCCAUGCCGCGUGGAUGAUGAAGGUCUUAGGAUUGUAAAAUCCUUUCACCGGUGAAGAUAAUGACUGUAGCCGGAGAAGAAGCCCCGGCUAACUUCGUGCCAGCAGCCGCGGUAAUACGAAGGGGGCUAGCGUUGCUCGGAUUUACUGGGCGUAAAGGGCGCGUAGGCGGACAUUUAAGUCAGGGGUGAAAUCCCGGGGCUCAACCUCGGAACUGCCUUUGAUACUGGGUGUCUUGAUUAUGAGAGAGGUGUGUGGAACUCCGAGUGUAGAGGUGAAAUUCGUAGAUAUUCGGAAGAACACCAGUGGCGAAGGCGACUCACUGGCCCAAUACUGACGCUGAGGCGCGAAAGCGUGGGGAGCAAACAGGAUUAGAAACCCCAGUAGUCC
This 425-nucleotide ribosomal RNA is filed under the name uncultured bacterium. RNAcentral's name for it is "partial 16S ribosomal RNA". It matches the Rfam family "Bacterial small subunit ribosomal RNA", at positions 354 to 796 of the family's 1533-position model. The record is from RNAcentral.